GAAAUGCGAUAAGUAAUGUGAAUUGCAGAAUUCCGUGAAUCAUCGAAUCUUUGAACGCACAUUGCGCCCUCUGGUAUUCCGGGGGGCAUGCCUGUCCGAGCGUCAUUGCGAACCCCUCAAGCACGGCUUGUGUGAUGGGCCCUCCCGCGUCUUGGUCGUCAAGACGGGCCCGAAAUGCAGUGGCGGCUUCGCGGUUAUCCGAUCAGCCAGAGCGUAUGGGGACUUUCUCUCUGUCACACGCCCGCGGCGCGGACCGACGCCUGUCGACCUUCAUUCAUCGUUUUCUCGGUUGACCUCGGAUCGGGUAGGGAUACCCGCUGAACUUAAGC
Molecule: unclassified non-coding RNA, 329 nt
Filed under: plant metagenome
Description: partial contains 5.8S ribosomal RNA, internal transcribed spacer 2, and large subunit ribosomal RNA
Rfam family: 5.8S ribosomal RNA (bases 1-105)
Source: RNAcentral